UAACAGGAAAUUUAAGGGCGUACGGUGGAUGCCUAGACUUUAAGAGGCGAUGAAGGACGUGGCGUUGCUGCGAUAAGCUUCGGGGAGGUGCUUAGCAACCUUUGAUCCGGAGAUUUCCGAAUGGGGAAACCCCACAGAGUAAACCUCUGUGAUCCCGACACUUGAUGUCGUGGAAGCAUACCCUGGGAAGUGAAACAUCUCAGUACCAGGAGGAGUAGAGAACAAUAGUUAUUUCCUUAGUAGCGGCGAGCGAAAAGGAAGAAGCCCAAACCGAUGUAGCAAUACAUCGGGGUUGUAAGGUAACAAUUUUUAUUUAAUUAGAGAGGAGUCAAAAAAUAAAUUAUUAGUUGAAGUUGCUGGAAAGCGACACCAUAGGGGGUGAUAGUCCCGUAAACGAAAAUAAUUUAUCUCUUUUAUUGUUAUUCUUGAGUACCCCAGGACAUGAAUGGCCGGGGGGAAUCCAGCGGAACUAACCGCUAAGGCUAAAUACUCUUAAAGAUCGAUAGUGAACUAGUACCGUGAGGGAAAGGUGAAAAGCAGCCCGAUUAGGGCGGUGAAAUAGACCUGAAACCGUAUGUCUACAAGGAGUCGAUGCUCCGAUUUAUCGGAGCUACGGCGUGCCUAUUGAAGAAUGAGCCAACGAGUUUAUUCAUACUGCGAGGCUAAGCUGGCUAAAACAGCAGAGCCAAAGGGAAACCGAGUGUUAAUAGCGCGAAAUUAGUAGUAUGCAUAAGACCCGAAGCCAGGUGAGCUUGCCAUGAGCAGGAUGAAGUUCCAUGAAAGUGGGAUGGAGGUCCGAACGGGUAGAUCGUACAACGUCUUCCGAUGACUUGUGGUAAGGAGUGAAAAGCUAAUCGAACCUGGUAAUAGCUGGUUCUCUCCGAAAUAGCUUUAGGGCUAGCGUCGUGUGUUUUUUCCGGGGGUAGAGCACUGGAAGAUUUCGACAGGGAGCAAUCUCGCGAAACCUAUCAAACUCCGAAUACCGGAAACCAUAGCACGGCAGUUAGGCCAUGGGGGCGAAGCUCCAUUGGCCAAAAGGGAAACAGCCCAGAUCUCAAAAUAAGGUCCCUAAAUAUAUACUAAGUGUAAGACAAGAAGGUGAGAUUUCUUAAACAAUGAGGAGGUUGGCUUAGAAGCAGCCAUCCUUUAAAGAUAGCGUAACAGCUCACUCAUCUAGAGAUUUUGCGUCGAAAAUAAUUGGGGCUAAGUAUAUUACCGAAUUUGAGGAUUU
This 1231-nucleotide ribosomal RNA is filed under the name Patescibacteria group bacterium. RNAcentral's name for it is "partial 23S ribosomal RNA". It matches the Rfam family "Bacterial large subunit ribosomal RNA", at positions 1 to 1209 of the family's 2925-position model. The record is from RNAcentral.